Grammomys surdaster is the source of this 1055-nucleotide long non-coding RNA. RefSeq lists it as uncharacterized. NCBI's taxonomy places the organism in Eukaryota, Metazoa, Chordata, Mammalia, Rodentia, Muridae. The transcript has 5 exons. The record is from RefSeq and is a predicted model, not a curated record.
UCAGGGACGCUAAGUAGCUCAGGCUGGUUCAUGAUUCUCCUGCCACAGUUUGCAGAGAGAUGGGAUUACAGCCCCGUCUCUCCCCCUUUAAGUGCCAGCUCUAAACCUGCAAUUCAACAGAGUCUGAAAUGUGAAAAUACAGUGUUUCUUUGGGCAGAGGGUGAGACCCAAAGGUGAGAAUACCUCCCGGGAAACAGUCAUAGACUGAAAAUGUGGAGCAGAGUGUGCAAUGGACUGCCCGGGCGACCAUUACACAUCAAGUGGUCCUUACAUGUAUGUUACAGAUACAUGAACAGAAGCCAAGCCAUUCAGCAAUGAAUUCAGCUUAUUUAAGAAAGUGCUUGGUAUGCACAUGCAUAUCAUCCCAGCACUUGAGAGACAGAAGCUAAAGGACUGUACAAAUUUAAGGCCUGCCUGGUCUACAUGACUGGGCCCCUAAUCUAAGGACAGCACUGUGACACCUUCCACCUGUUUACACUGUUCCUACUGCCAUCUGAUGCCAACUUCCAGGGACUGUGAGUGAGAAGUGUUUUGUUGAGUCCUGAUUCCUAGUGAGAGAAAACAGGAAACUGCUGUUGCAAUCCACCAGUUACACAGUAGAGUACUGGACCACCUGUGAAAGGAUAUCAGGAAGUUACAGAGUAAACAUUGUCUGGGGAAAACAAAUGUCUAUUCAUCCCAAAUAGGGCUCCAACAACAGAUCAAAGAAACUACUCCACCAAUCUGGUUAAUUUUUGUCCCUUUGGCACAGCUAGAGUCAUCUGGAUUGAGAAAAUGGCUCCAUCCCCCUGACCUGAAGAUACGCCUAUGGGGUAUUCUCUUGAUUUAUGAUUGAUGUGAGAGGACCCAGCCCACUCUGGGUGGUAUCAUCCCUGGGCAGGUGGUCCUUGGUUGUAUAAAAAGGCAGGCUGAGCAAACCAUCAGGAGCUAGCUAGUAAGCAGUGUUCCUCCAUGUCUUUGUUUCAGAUCCUGCUUCUAGGUUCCCCCUGCCUUGAGUUGAGGCUGUGACUUCCUUCACUAUGAAGUGUGAGUCAAAUAAAGUCUUUCCUCCCCAA